Long non-coding RNA from Gadus morhua (Atlantic cod), 620 nucleotides. RefSeq lists it as uncharacterized. The transcript is spliced from 2 exons. The record is from RefSeq and is a predicted model, not a curated record. NCBI's taxonomy places the organism in Eukaryota, Metazoa, Chordata, Actinopteri, Gadiformes, Gadidae.
CUUGUUUUGGCACGGGGCAUGCCUCCAUGUCACAGAGUUAACCGCCAACGUGGCGGUGGUUUGCUCUUGUUCACUCACGGAUGUGAUUCUUUUUACACGUCGUUUCGGUUUUGUUUUCACGACGCGGCUCCAUAACUUUGUUUCCUGUUUCCUGUGAUGUCCCGUCCCCCCCCACCCCCAGCCCCAACCUCCUCAUGACUCUCUAACGGAGGCCUGUGUUGCAUCGCACCGUCGGAGGAGUCCCCAGAUGAAAUUUAGGAGGAUUUUGCCCAGCCGAAGGCACCAGGAGAUGUGUCCUCCCUCUCAGGUGACUGCAGCCUCAUUCAUUGCCUUCUUUUCUCCCAGCUUUUUAAUUAGGCCACACAACUCAGGACAACAACAUGCCUCUUCAAGCUCCUCCGUGUCUGACUUUGAUGAUAUAUAUGUUCUCAUGUUUUCAUCGUUUUCACACCAUAUACAUGAAAAGAUGUGUAUGUUCUGUUCUUAUCUUGGGCUGUCAUGCUGUGUGAUGAUUUUCUUGUUAUUAGUUGCGUUUAUUUGUACAUGUGUGCGCUUUUAUUCUUGUAAAGGCAGAACAGCUGUAUCGUCAAGGUAUUAAAGAUAUCCCUCAUUUAAAAUGA